UCAAAGGGCGCUGUCGUGCGAUCAGCGGCGAUCUGGCGGUGGGUGGACUGGUCAGUCAGAGGAGCGUGCGUGUCUGUGCAUUGGAAGUGUUGUCGGCGGCGUGGUCGUGCGGGACUCGGCUAGUCGUCAGCCUUGAAUCGUUGAGCUCAGCCGUCUACGCGACGCACGCGUCCAUCCUUACUGGACGUUCCGGCGCGUCCAGUUGGUCGAACUUCCUCGUCUACCAAGAAAACCACCAUGACCACGGCAGCCAAGUUGUACGGCAAGGAUCUCAGUGAGUACGAAGAUAUUGACGUGGAUGAGCUACUGGCACAACUCACGCCGGAAGAGAUCAAUAUACUCGCCAAGGAAGUGGAUCCUGAUGAUAGCUUCAUGCCACCUUCGCAACGUUGCAGUUAUGAAUGUGACAAGAGUCCUACAGGGCCGCUGAAUCGAAAGAAACUCAUCGAGCACAUCAACAAGCAGGCUCUGGAGACGCCUGAUAUUCCAGAGCUGAAGCCAUAUGUACCUGGUGUGAUCAGAGGCAAAAAAUGGAUACCUCCGCCGCAAGAGACUAUAAAAGAGAAGGAGGCAGAGGAACAGAUCGCGAUAGAUCUCGGGGAAGAGUACGAACAAGCUCUCUCGUCAGCCACCCAAGAAGAAAUCAUCGAUCUUGCUGCUAUUCUUGGAUUCCAUUCCAUGAUGAAUCAAGAUCAGUAUCACGCGUCCUUGUUGAACUCUGGACAACCGGUCGGACUCGGCUGGGACGGCGUGACGAAGGCUAGCCAACCGAAGGUCUAUCCCAUGGAGCCGCCCAACGACACAGACGUCGACGCCACCAUCAAACAAGUGCGCGACGAUGACUCAGCUCUGACCGACUUGAAUUGGAACAAUAUUAAAAAUAUCUCGGACGAAAAGUUCAUGCAGUUGUUCGAAGGCUUGGAAAUAAACACUCACCUCGAAUCGCUGAGUUUAACCAAUGUUGGACUGAACGACAAAACUGCGCAACGGCUGGCAGACGCUGUAGAGAAGAAUUCGACGCUCAGAGUACUCAACGUGGAAACAAACUUUAUAAGCCCGGCUGUGAUAGUGAGGCUCAUCAGGGCCCUUCUCAAAACGAAGUCCAUUGAAGAGUUCCGAUGCUCGAACCAGAGGUCACAAGUGUUGGGUAACAAAAUCGAGAUGGAAAUCACACAGUUGGUGGAACAAAACCCGACAUUGCUGCGACUCGGGUUGCACUUGGAGUUCAACGACGCUAGACACCGCGUGGCCGCGCAUCUGCAACGCAACAUUGACAGGAUCUGCCGUGUGGAACCCAUGGAACGCGCUAAGGUCGUAGCGAUCGGUGCUGGUGCUGGAACCUUCACCGUUCUCCCCGUAGAUGACUUAAAAAACCGAGCGUAGCGCUGUCGCGGCGCAUACGGAAAGAUCUAACGCUGCGGCUACAGUUCCGAUUCUUUAACAUGAACCACAGGAAACCUGCCUUGAUCCAAUGAAAGUACGGCAGUCCCGGCUCGGGGUGGCGACAUCUUAACGCGAAGUGGCGUUCGUCUAGGUAUUA
This 1540-nucleotide unclassified non-coding RNA is filed under the name Harpegnathos saltator (Jerdon's jumping ant). RNAcentral's name for it is "tropomodulin, transcript variant X1". Lineage: Eukaryota; Metazoa; Arthropoda; Insecta; Hymenoptera; Formicidae. The record is from RNAcentral.